Molecule: non-coding RNA, 86 nt
Organism: Rhabditophanes sp. KR3021
Lineage: Eukaryota; Metazoa; Nematoda; Chromadorea; Rhabditida; Alloionematidae
Source: Rfam
CCGACCAUAGCUCAGUUGGUAGAGCGGAGGACUGUAGAGUCAGCACUGUUAUCCUUAGGUCACUGGUUCAAAUCCGGUUGGUCGGA